Long non-coding RNA from Varroa destructor (honeybee mite), 1048 nucleotides. Lineage: Eukaryota; Metazoa; Arthropoda; Arachnida; Mesostigmata; Varroidae. The record is from RefSeq and is a predicted model, not a curated record.
GUACUCACUUGUCUGUGCAUAUCGCAUUCGAAUACAAAAGUUGGCCGUCAGAUGACGAGCGGUGCGAAUAGAAUAUAUGUUCAUUCGUAUGUAUUAUAGAAAUUUAUGGAUCAACCCAAACCAUGUUACUGUCCCUACACUGGUUAAGUGGCUUUGGUUAUUCUUGGCCACGAGGAUAGCAUACGUCGGUCCGCCGAUUUUGGAUUCCUGCCCCGUCAAAGCUGAGAUCCGCGUGCAAUCAUUAGAUUGUCCUGUUCAGAGUUUGUGUUGGAGGCUGUAUAAGGGCAUCACAUACAUGCCACCUUAUUUGAGGCCGAACAUCAGAGAAAUUCCAAGCAUACUCAAGAUAGGCGCCGAGAAGUGUCGCCGUGAGUCACUUGUUGACACAAAUCGACGUUAGCUCAACGGCAAAGAGGGACUCGCGGCGGUGCAGGAAAUAUCACAGAGCAAAUACCCAUUGAAGCUGUUUUCGUUAGCGUGAUAAUGGAUGGCUACCGGCGACAGACACUUUUGUUGUUUGUUAUGCAACGGUCCAAGGCUACGCUAAUAGCUCAUACCUAUCGGGGUAUCAAGACUUCAAGCUUUGCCCGAUCUGUUGACGAAGCAUAUGCGGAGUGGUCCAGAUUGUCGUGUUCAUUUGCGCAUAACCUAAAGGCUAGCAUUGUGAGGAACAUGUAGCUAUCUCUUUGGUCAAUAUGUGAAUCUCUCAGACGAGUGAUGAUUGUCAAACGACAAAUGAAACGUUAAUCGUUUAGUAUAUUGGCAACGAAUUUACCGCUAAGCGGGAUGUACAUCGAGUGUGGAUAUGAUCUUGUAAAAGUUUUGUAUGCGUCCCUAGAUGUUUGCCAGGAAAUAAAAACGAACAAAAAAAUGGAUUAGAUAUUCUUCAUUUAAUUGAUUCGAGUACAUUCUGUCCCUAAAAACCGGUUUGUAAUGUCGAAGUUAAAUACAAAAGCUUCCAAAAGGAUCCAACUAUCAAGAUCAAGCGAAUAUUGUAAAAAAAACCUGCAAUGGAACAGACAAUAUUUGUAGAAUGUAUAAGUCUAGU